CAGCCGCCGCGGGAAAACGUAGGGGGCGAGCGUUGUCCGAAGUUACUGGGCGUAAAGAGCGCGUAGGCUGGUCUUUAAGUGAGUGGUGAAAGGUUCGGGCUCAACCCGGACACUGCCUUUCAUACUGGGGACCUUGAGUGUGGGAGAGGCGAGUGGAAUGGUCGGUGUAGCGGUGAAAUGCGUAGAUAUCGAUCGGAACACCCAUGGCGAAGGCAGCUCGCUGGCCUAACACUGACGCUGAGGCGCGAAAGCGUGGGGAGCAAACAGGAUUAGAUACCCCCGUAGUCCCUGUCUCUUAUAC
RNAcentral lists this ribosomal RNA (301 nucleotides) under uncultured bacterium. RNAcentral describes it as "partial 16S ribosomal RNA". It matches the Rfam family "Bacterial small subunit ribosomal RNA", at positions 509 to 807 of the family's 1533-position model. The record is from RNAcentral.